GUGAAACAGAAGACCCUCCCAUGGGCUUCAAAUCCUUCACAUUCAAACACUGUGCAUUGUCUGGAUGAAUGUUGCCCGCCUUGGGCAACUACUAGUCCUCUGUUUUUAGCACCCAAGUCAAUGUAUGUUGGUUGUCAUAACAAAAUA
This 147-nucleotide unclassified non-coding RNA is filed under the name uncultured fungus. RNAcentral describes it as "sequence contains ITS1, 5.8S rRNA gene". The record is from RNAcentral. Lineage: Eukaryota; Fungi.